This 69-nucleotide transfer RNA is filed under the name Bacillus cereus. RNAcentral's name for it is "tRNA-Val". The stretch from base 4 to 63 matches the Rfam family "tRNA", at positions 7 to 64 of the family's 71-position model. From Rfam's summary of the family: Transfer RNA (tRNA) molecules are approximately 80 nucleotides in length. The record is from RNAcentral. Lineage: Bacteria; Bacillati; Bacillota; Bacilli; Caryophanales; Bacillaceae.
GGAUUAGCUCAGCUGGGAGAGCACCUGCCUUACAAGCAGGGGGUCGGCGGUUCGAUCCCGUCAGCAGCA